AAUUGUAGGAAAACCACCACCAAAGGUCUCAGAUACCCGCAGCAUCAAAGUGGCUGAUAUGCAGAAGAAUAUCAAAAUGCUAAAGAUCAUAAAGCUCGGUUGAAGUGACAACCAGAGGAAAAGCCCACAAACAAGUACAGUAUGAUGAGAUGCUGGGAAGAGAAAAACUGCAAAAGGUUAAACAGUCACCUAAGAUUACUGGUGACAGAUGCCUGCUAACAAGGGGGGAAGCAACAUUUAGGAGAUUCUUUGGAG
Leptonychotes weddellii (Weddell seal) is the source of this 255-nucleotide non-coding RNA. NCBI's taxonomy places the organism in Eukaryota, Metazoa, Chordata, Mammalia, Carnivora, Phocidae. The record is from RefSeq and is a predicted model, not a curated record.